RNAcentral lists this ribosomal RNA (348 nucleotides) under uncultured bacterium. RNAcentral's name for it is "bacterial SSU rRNA". It matches the Rfam family "Bacterial small subunit ribosomal RNA", at positions 838 to 1186 of the family's 1533-position model. The record is from RNAcentral.
CUUUAGUGGCGCAGCUAACGCGAUAAGUUGACCGCCUGGGGAGUACGGUCGCAAGACUAAAACUCAAAUGAAUUGACGGGGGCCCGCACAAGCGGUGGAGCAUGUGGUUUAAUUCGAUGCAACGCGAAGAACCUUACCUGGUCUUGACAUAGUGAGAAUCCUGCAGAGAUGCGGGAGUGCCUUCGGGAAUUCACAUACAGGUGCUGCAUGGCUGUCGUCAGCUCGUGUCGUGAGAUGUUGGGUUAAGUCCCGCAACGAGCGCAACCCUUUUCCUUAUUUGCCAGCACUUCGGGUGGGAACUCUAAGGAUACUGCCAGUGACAAACUGGAGGAAGGCGGGGACGACGUC